Molecule: transfer RNA, 71 nt
Filed under: Marmota monax (woodchuck)
Lineage: Eukaryota; Metazoa; Chordata; Mammalia; Rodentia; Sciuridae
Description: tRNA.Gly
Source: RNAcentral
GGGGUUGUAGCUCAGAGGUAGAGCGCUCACUUACCAUGCUUGAGACACUGGGUUCAAUCAUCAGCACCUCG